AAUCUUUAAUAAAAUUAUAAAUCCCCACUUUUCAGUUUGAUUUGUUUCCACAGUUUCGUACUUUCUCAUUCUAAUACCCUAUAUAAUUUAAAGUGUAUCAUUUUUGCGCCACGUAAUUUUAUUAUUAUUUUUGUUAUUUUCUUUUUUUAUUUUUUUGUUAAAUCAGUGACAAAAUUAAAAUUAAAGGUAUUAAAGUGAAUAUUCCAUAAACUAAUAUGGGUUAUCUAAAACUUUUUGUAUAUGAUUUAACGAAAAGGCUGCGGAGGGGCCGGCGAAAAGAGAAAAUUGAAACCACGGUUCACAGAGUAUUAAAUUGAUACAUUUUAAAUCACAGGAUAUUAAAAGUGAGAAAGUGCGAAACCAUAGGAGUAGUAUUUGAAGUUUACCCUUUUGGUUAGUAGAAUUUUGAAAUUAAAAAGUUAAUCAGAUAGUGAUACUGAUCAAAUAUUAUAUCUGUGAAUUAAGGAUUUAAUACAUGCUUAGUAGUA
RNAcentral lists this long non-coding RNA (488 nucleotides) under Ananas comosus (pineapple). Its description in RNAcentral is "long non-coding RNA (ACOM_LNC006341)". The record is from RNAcentral. Lineage: Eukaryota; Viridiplantae; Streptophyta; Magnoliopsida; Poales; Bromeliaceae.